CCUACGGGAGGCAGCAGUGGGGAAUAUUGCACAAUGGGCGAAAGCCUGAUCCAGCAACGCCGCGUGAGGGAUGACGGCCUUCGGGUUGUAAACCUCUUUCAGCAGGGACGAAGCGCAAGUGACGGUACCUGCAGAAGAAGCACCGGCCAACUACGUGCCAGCAGCCGCGGUAAUACGUAGGGUGCGAGCGUUGUCCGGAAUUAUUGGGCGUAAAGGGCUCGUAGGCGGUUUGUCGCGUCGGAAGUGAAAACUCAGGGCUUAACCCUGUUCGUGCUUCCGAUACGGGCAGACUAGAGGUAGGCAGGGGAGAACGGAAUUCCUGGUGUAGCGGUGGAAUGCGCAGAUAUCAGGAGGAACACCGGUGGCGAAGGCGGUUCUCUGGGCCUAUUCUGACGCUGAGGAGCGAAAGCAUGGGG
This 416-nucleotide ribosomal RNA is filed under the name uncultured bacterium. Its description in RNAcentral is "bacterial SSU rRNA". It matches the Rfam family "Bacterial small subunit ribosomal RNA", at positions 338 to 766 of the family's 1533-position model. The record is from RNAcentral.